AUUAAUAUUGUUUAAAUUGUUAUAAAUUUUGUUUUGAAUUUGUUUUAUUAUGAAAAAUGUGUUAAUAAAAAUAAUUUUAAAAGAAAUUGGAAAUAUAUAUAUCAGUUGAAGGUGCUUUCAAUAAGGUGCUGGGCUAAGUAUUGUGAGUUACAGGUAUAUUGAUGGGUGAAAUCAGUAUAAAUAUUACCAAUUAAAUUUAUUUUGAUAAAACAUUCAGAUUGCAUGUAGACCAGAAGACUUAAACCGAAGAUAC
Pelobates cultripes (western spadefoot toad) is the source of this 253-nucleotide non-coding RNA. The record is from the annotation of a GenBank genome assembly. Lineage: Eukaryota; Metazoa; Chordata; Amphibia; Anura; Pelobatidae.